CAUGGACACACACAAUUUUUCACUGAAUAAUACUACUCCUUCUUCUUCUUAGCUGUUUCUUCUUCUUCUUCUUCUUAUCAAUAAUGAAGUUUUUCCUUCAUUAACGAACACAUGAUAUAGAUCAAAUUGUGUCACUUCAGAAGAUGACGUCUUAAAGAUUCAUAACAUUGAAAGGAUUUGGUUGAAAUAGAGUUUCUGAGUUUCUGGAUUAUGGUUAAUGCUAUUGCUAAGAAGUGAGAAUCCACAACAUUGACUCUUGAAUUCUCAUCAACACUUGAAUAAAUUUCUAUGGAAGUUUGGCUUUUCCGAGGUUCAAUAGCUAAGAUGAAUGACCCCUUUUAGGUAAUGUUUUCAAUGUUGAAGUGUAAAAGGUUGGGAUUGUGGCGUAGUGGAAACAGAAUGAGCUGAAUUGGAUCGAGUGUUUGAAAUUCUUUAAAACGUUCUUUACAACGUGAACCUACUUCCUGAUAGAAUUUCUUCAUCUCAAUUAGUUCAUUUAAUUUUCUAAAUCGCUAAAGAUAUAUUUAUCGACAUUAGUUCUUUGCUUAAAUGAAGUUCUAUGUUGUUUCAGCACUUCAACACUUUUUGUAAUAGUGUGUGUGAGAGAGUGGAUUGUUCUCUAUGUAUUUUUUCGGUCACACUCGUUUGUAUUUCUACUAUGUUAAAUUACGAAUAAGAUAGUGCAACUUCCUACUUUAUAUUAGUAUAACUUAAUUAUAUGUACCACAAAAGACAGACACCCGCGAAUUUCUAAUUGAAUAUUCAUCCACUUUGUCAUUUCUACUACUUUUAUUCUCUCCCUUCCGAUAAAUUCUUGGUUUGAGGCAUAAUUAAGAUGAGCUUGAAUCUCACGUAGUCUUUCCCUUACUGUUGCAAUUCUGUUGUCCAAGCUACCUCCUUGAUGUUGUAGUAUCUUUGGUGGUUCUUUGCAUAAUUUCAAUCUAGUCCAAAGUCUAAACAUCUUUGUCCCCGAACUGGUUGCUGCCAACUAUGUUCUACAAUCACCAUGAAUUUCUCAUCCUUAGUGAAAAUGUUAAUGAACCUGAAAGACAUUCUUCUCAAGGCUAUAAUUGUGGUGAUUUCCAUAUGGAUUGGGGAAUCAUCUGAGAAGUGUUUUUCCUCGAAUUGAGUUCUAAUGUGACCAUAUUGUGAAAUGCAUUCCUCGUUACAGAAUGCUUUGUCUAUUUUGCUCCAAAUAUGCCUAUUAUUCCAAGUAAAUACUCUUUUGGUUGCUUACAUAUCAGUUAGGAUUAGAGUAUCAAUUACUUGUUGGAAAUCUCUACUCUCACUUCCAUUUACUGGUUGGCCUCAUUUUCUAUCCUCAAAUGAUAAUGGAGAGUUGAAGUUUCCACAUAUGCACCGAUAGGUAGUUAGUUUAGCACCCAACCUCAUCAAACCAUACAGGUUAUUACUUCCAUAUACCAUUGUUACAUCACACUUAAAGUUUGUUCUUCUAUCAAGCACUAUACAAUGGAUGCACUCGCCAUGUGUUGCCUGAACAGUAACCUCAACCUCAGUUGCCUGAACAGACACUCAUGAUCAGUUUCAUAGAGACAUUGUUGUUGAAUUUUUGUUUUCUCAUCCAUGUGAAUUCCAUCUUGGUCGUGAUCAUCUGGAUAUGUUAGUUUAUGUGUUGCUGCUUGAUUUUAUGAGGUUUUUCAGUUUUUAUUGCCUUCAUUCUCUAGACAGGUUGAACGUCAUACUAGUCAAGUUCAUAUAGUUGUAGUUGUUUAUAAAAUCUACUGUUGCAUAUUGGUCAAGUUCAUAUAAGCAUUGUUUGUUCUAUUCGUUGUUGGUCAAAUCGUACAGAAGAUAUGUGAACAUGUGCCAAAAAAGAAAGAGCAAGAGAGUGAAUAUGUUCCUUUGUCUUUGCUUAGAAGAACUUAGGAAUCUGCUCAUAUACCAUCAAAGAAGAACAAAAACUUACAAUCUUGAAAAGAAUUAAAAGUUGAUGGAACCUACGCUUUUUAGUCUUCUUGAGUUCUAUUUAUAAAGGUAAUAAAAAUCAUACAUCCAAUCUAAUUAAUGUGGGCAUCAUAUGUUCAUCAGAAAGUGAACCUAGGCUUUUUAGUCUUCUUGAGUUCUGUUUAGCUCCAUGUUCUUAGUCGUCUUGAGUUUGUAGUUGUUGUGCUCGCCUUAAGCUUUGUAUAUUUAAUUUUUAAUCACAAUAAAGUUCAGAUGUUCAAAAUGUUUUAUAUGUAUGGAUUAGUUAUAUCUUGUUUUGGAGACUGCUGUGUUGAGGGCGGUUUUGAUCUAAUAUAUAAAAAGUACUUUUUAACCAUUUAUGAUAUGUUAAGGCCAUUUUGACCCUUUUCUGUUUUUCUAUUAAAGUUUUUCCCUGGAUCCCUAACUAUUUCUUCCGUGCGUUGCUGCAAACACCAUCUUUAUAGCUUUAUAAUCUAUUAUUUUCCCUGAUGCUAAUUUGAAGGCUCCUGGUUCAAGGUCAUCUUUGUUGUGUUGUACCAACAUGUUGUAAAUGAUUUUAUGCAUUGUUGAAUUUCCCAUGCUUGUCCAAAGUAAAUCAGAUGUGUUCAUGAUUGGCAUAAUUGGUUCAAACUGAAAAGUAUUGUGAUCUGCCAUUCUGCAUGCCAGGUUCAUUCUACAACUUUUCUCUCAUUGUAUUUAUGUGGAGCACGUGAAUUCAAUAACUUUUGUCGAACCUCGGAUAUGAAACUUAUUAAAUAAAUAUAUGACAAUGAACUCAAUUCUUAUUUUGUACGAACUUUUAAUGUCUGUUGUAAGAACUCAUAAAUUUUAAAUCAUGUAUCCUCCUAUGAGGUAAGACUAUAGUCGUGAUUCCUAUCACAAAUUUUGAUAGAUAUAUGUUGGAACACUUGAAAUCUUAUGUUAUUUGUGUUCAUAUGCAGAUCAUGUGAAAUUAGAAGAAAAGAAGGAAGAUCUGGAAAGAAUCGAAUGGAUAAGUUCAUGCAGACUUCUCUACUGCAUAUCUUGGAGAUGCAUUGGUUCUUGAUUAUCACUUCUAGUGUCACUGUCCUCCUUUUAACCAGUUUCCUUGCCACAGUUCCUAGGCCAGUCCUUACGAAUGAUUUUAUCAAGUAUGCACAUGAUGAAGAAGCAGUUAACGAUCAAGAGGAGACGGGAUGGAAAUACAUACAUGGUGAUGUCUUUAGGUUCCCGAAACACAAGUCAUUGUUUGUUGCAACAGUUGGUUGUGCUACUCAGAUUUCACUUUGUUAAUCUCCUCUGAAAUCUGUUGUUCUGAUAAAUUUAGUCUAAUACAAGAAACAUUUGCAUUAUUGUGUAUAGUGUAUCUUGUACAGGACAAUUUUUAUAUUUAUGAUGGCGCUUGUCAGGGUGUUGUAUCCUUACAAUAGAGGAGCUCUAUUCAUUGCCCUGAUUGUUAAAUAUGCACUCACUUCUGGCAUUGCCGAAUACACACCAACCUCUUUCUAUUGCCAACUUGAAGGAACUAAUACAGUAAGUGCUGUAAUAUUCUCAUAAAUGUUGAGAUAUUGUCAUCUAGACAUUUAAUUUGUUGUUUCGUUCAAGCCAUCACUGUAAUGUAAACUUAGGUGUAUCAUGCAUUUUUGUUAUCAUAGUUGAUUAAGCAUAAACUAUUUGCUUGAAAGAGUGAAAACGACAAGGUUCAAAUCCAGGAUUGAGAUUACUGUUAUGGAACUCGAGACAAAGGGGAACCUAGUAUGUUGGCUACGAGUGUAGAAGACCCGGUAACUUUGGUUCAAAUCUCCUGUAUUUCUGCAGGUAGCGUAGCAUGUCUCGGAAAAAUAGUCAAUGUAGUGCAAAUUAUUCCAGACAACAUUGCUAUAAUUUAAGUACACUCAUCUGAAUACGAGUCUUACGCAUAUGUAUGCUUCCACAUGAAGAAGUUUAAUGCAAUGAGAUCUAGAGGGCUAUAUACAACACAAUGGGUUCAGACAUCCACAAAAAUGCCGGUAAUUGAAUUUAAAUUGCAUGUGGCCAAAAGUAAAUUUGAUCUAUUGUAGUGAACGAUGAAGAGUUUUUGUACUAUUUACAUAUACGUUUGAAUGCAUUUGUUUUUUUUGGAAUUUAUUAAUAUUAGAGAUCUUUAAGCAAUCACUUUUUAAGUUUUGAUUGUACAAGACAUGUUUCUCGAAAUUUAUUUGAAAUAUAUAGCUUCGAUUUAACUAUUA
Long non-coding RNA from Solanum pennellii, 4133 nucleotides. RefSeq lists it as uncharacterized. Lineage: Eukaryota; Viridiplantae; Streptophyta; Magnoliopsida; Solanales; Solanaceae. The record is from RefSeq and is a predicted model, not a curated record. The transcript has 5 exons.